This 3776-nucleotide long non-coding RNA is filed under the name Sus scrofa (pig). RNAcentral's name for it is "lncRNA (ENSSSCG00015066867.1)". Lineage: Eukaryota; Metazoa; Chordata; Mammalia; Artiodactyla; Suidae. The record is from RNAcentral.
UUUUUUUUUUUUUUUUUUUCUUUUUUUUUUUUUGUCUUUUAGGGCCACACCCUUGGCAUAUGGAGAUUGAAUCAGAGCUACAGCUGCUGGCCUACACCACAGCCACAGCAAUGCCAGAUCUGAGCCGCGUCUGCAACCUACACCACUGUUCACGGUAACGCCAGAUCCUUAACCCACGGAGUGAGGCCAGAGAUCGCAUCUGUGGCCUCGUGGAUCCUAGUCAGAUUCAUUUCCACUGAGCCACGACAGGAACUCCUAAUUUUUAACCCAUUUUUAAAGAUGAGGAACAGUUAAUUUACCAUGCUGUGUUAGCUUCAGGGGUAUAGCAAAGACAUUCAGUUUUUUAUAUAAUCUUUUUCAGAUUCUUUUCUAUUAUAGGUUAUUACAAGACAUUGAAUAUAGUCCCCUGUGCUAUACAGUAGGUCCUUGUUGAUUAUUUUUUUUUUUUUUUUUUUGACCACACUCUGGGCAUGUGGAAGUUCUUGGGUCAGGGAUCAAACCUGAGCCACACCACCAACCCAAGUCCUUACAGUGACAAUGCAAGAUCCUUAACCUGCUGCCUUGCAAGAGAACCCCCUCAUUGAUUAUCUAUUUCAUGUGUGGUAGUGUACAUAUGUUAAUCCCAAACUCCUAAUUUAUCUGCUCCAGCCACUAUCCCCUCUGGUAGCCAUACAUUUAUUUUCUGUGUCUGUGAGUCUCUUUGUACUUUGGGAAUAAGUUAGUUCACAUCACUUUUUUUUUAAUAUUAUACAUGUAGGUGAUAUAUGACAUCUGUCUUUCUCUGACUUACUUCACUUAAUACAAUAAUCUCUAGGUCAUGUUCUGCAAAUGACAUUAUUUCAUUCUUUUUUAUGGCUGAGUAAUAGUCCAUUGCAUAUAUAUGUGCCACAUCUUCUUUAUUCACUCAUCUGUCAAUGGACACUUAGGUUGCUUCCGUGUCUUGGCUAUUGAAAGUAGUGCUGCUAUGAACAGUGGGGUGGGUACAAUUCUGUUUUAAACAGAACAUCCCUUGCCCAGCAUUAGGGUCAGAAAAAACCCACCAAUACAUAAGUUAGUCUUCCCAUAAAACUGUAAAUCCCACAGAGCCCUACAGCCUGUAAUGCUGGCCUCUCUACAGCUAAACUGGGUAUAUGGGAUUGGGGAAGAAGUUUAGGACGCUUUGGAGAGAAAGCGGAGGAAAACAAAAUAUUAUUAGCACUCUAGUACAGAUGGCUUUCAAAAAUUUACCCAAAAGCAGAAUGCUCAUUUUCAGAAAGCGCCUGCCUUCUUAAAAUAAUCUGGAAAAAUCCCAAGAACAUCUCCUAUAUAAAUGAUCCAAUAUUCACUGCUUCAGCUGGAAAUGUGUGUGUGUGGGGGGAAAUGUCUUUGUUCUUUCAGUCUUUGCUCCUCCCAUUUUUUCCUGACAACAGUAGAUAGAGGAAUAGCACCUGAUGAGUCCAAUGAACGUGGAUAAGGAGGCCCAUCUCCGGCCCUGGGGAGGGCUGGUCCACUAGGACAUGAGCAUCUCUGCAGGCAGGUGCAGAGGGAAGGAUCUGCCUCACUGGGUCCAGGAUGUGACUACCGCCCAAAGGACACCUGAACUGCCUUCUUUCUCCUGCCUCCUGUAGCCCGUUUCACUGAAGAGUUGUUUAUUGUGUAAUUAAUGAAAGGUAAUGGCCCUUGCAGAUGCUUUACCAGGGAGCCCAACAUUCAGGCUCCUGCUACUGAUUAAGACAGAUUCUUCCCCCCACCCCUCCUCUUAAUCACCCAGCUCUGGAAGACAUUUUUAAAGCUCCCAGGGCCUCCCAGAGGACCAAGGGUUGUUAAUCUCAGCACCAGCACCCUCCUCGCUCAACCAAGAUUCUUCCAAAAACCACAAAAGGGCCUACAAAGCAAAAGGGGAGCCAUUACUUUUCCCCUUCAGGCCUAUUACCUGCUUUAUCCUCAGGGAAAAAUAGCUCAGUCAGUAGUUCUUGGUUGGCUGGCUAGGGCCCCAAGCUGUGCUUCUGCUCAGAACUUCCCAGUACAUGGUUAAAAAUCAUAGUUAAUGCUUCCCAGAAAUAAAUAUUUCAAAGCCACUUGCUUUCUGGCCUGCCAGAUGGCUGCAUUUCACACUCCCAACUGUGUCAGACUCCCAAAAACUCAGCGAUUCGAAUUUUGCCAUGGGGUGUAUGAUCCUGGAAUAGGGGUGGGGUGGUGGAUGGGUAACAUAGAAAGGGUUUUUUGUUGUUGUUGUUUUUGUAAUUCUUAUAGGAAUGAGUAACACUGGCUUCACUCUAGUUAUCAGAGGAACAUCAUUCAUGGGUAAUUCCACAGCAAAAAUGCCAGCGAGCCGUCAGAGUCGGUGAAAGUUCAUGUCAUAUUUAUUGAUACCUGCCCACUGACUCCAUCCUCACCUCAAAUCCUGCCUCCGUUUCAUCACCCUCUCUCUCUCCCUCCCUGCAAGAUGGACUCAGGGAACACCAGUCCUUGAGGUGGGUUGAUACACUUGGAAUUCCUUGCACAUCAAAUCAGAUGCACAUACCCAAGAGCCCAAGUAGAGCUGAGAGGCAGAGUCCUCUGAAUCCUUUCUUUUACUUUUUAGGGCCUCACCUGCAGCAUGUGGAAUUUCCCAGGCUAGAGAUCGAAUCAGAGCUACAGAUCGAAUCAGAGCUACAGCUGCCAGCCUACGCCACAGCCACAGCAAUAUCAGAUCCGAUCCUGCGACCUACACCACAGCUCACGGCAACACCAGAUUCCUCACCCACUGAACACGGCCAGGGAUUGAACCCACAUCCUCAUGGAUACUAAUCAGAUUCGUUACUGCUCCCUCUGAAUCUUUUUAGAUACAAGUUUUCCCCAGUCUGUUCAGGCUGCGAUCACAGAAUACUGUGGACUGGCUGGCUGGCCAACAACAGAAAUGGAUUUCUCACAGGUCUGGAGGCUGGGAAGUCCCAGAUUCAGUGUUUGGGGAGUGCCUGCUUCCUGGUCCAGAGUUGUUGUCUUCUUCUUUUUCCCUUUGCUACACAGUAGGACCUUGUUGUUGAUGCAUUCAUAGCUGUCUUCUUGCUGUGUCCUCAUGUGGUAGAAGUGGGAGGGGGGCUCCACGGGUCUCUUUUGUGGGGACACUAAUCCUCUAUGUGAUCCACCCUCAUGCCCUGACUACCUCCCCAAAGUCACCCCUUCUAAUACCAUCCCUUUGGGGGCUAGGAUUUCAGCAUAGGAAUAUGGGGAACAUGAUGAUUCAGUCCAUUGCGAUGGUCCAUCCUGACUGUUUUUCAGGCCUUGUGCUAAUAAAAAGGGAUCACGUGGUUCCUGUAGUGGCUCAGCAGACAUUAAUCCAGCUAGUAUCCAUGAGGAUGCAGGUUCGAUCCCUGGCCUCGCUCAGUGGGUCAGGGAUCCAGCGUUGCUGUGAGCCAUGGUGUAGGUCUCAGACUCAGCUCAGGUCUAGCGUCGCUGUGGCUGUGGUGUAGGCCAGUGGCUACAGCUCCGAAUUGACCCCUAGCCUGGGAACUUCCUUAUGCCUUGGAUACAGCCCUAAACAAAAGCAAAAAAGUAAAAAUAAAAAAUAAAAAAGGGAUCAGAUUAUUAGGUCAUUUAGGUCUCCUAUUGCUUUAUGUUUGGGAGUUGUGUUUUAUUAUCAUAUAAAUAGUAUAUAUUCAUUAAAGAAAAAUUAGAAAAGAAGAAUAAAUCAAAGAAGACAAAACUCAAAAUGUGCAUACACACAAACCCCCAAGAUCUUCUAAUACAGAUAAAAUCUGUACUGACAUUUUAUUGUGUAUUUUCCCAAACUUUCUCCGAAUGUAAUUAUAUAUACA